CCUACGGGAGGCAGCAGUGAGGAAUAUUGGUCAAUGGGCGCGAGCCUGAACCAGCCAAGUCGCGUGAGGGAAGACGGCCCUACGGGUUGUAAACCUCUUUUGCCGGGGAGCAACGGGCGCCACGUGUGGCGCCACUGAGAGUACCCGGAGAAACAGCAUCGGCUAACUCCGUGCCAGCCGCCGCGGUAAUACGGAGGAUGCGAGCGUUAUCCGGAUUUAUUGGGAUUAAAGGGUGCGUAGGGGGAGCGUUAAGUCCGGGGUAAAAUUGUGGGGCUCAAACCCUUCCCGUCAGUGAAACUGGCGCGCUUGAGAGGAAGAGAGGUAAGCGGAAUGCGUGGUGUAGCGGUGAAAUGCAUAGAUAUCACGCAGAACCCCGAUUGCGAAGGCAGGAUGCCGGCUUCCGACUGACGCUGAAGCACGAAAGCGUGGGGAUCGAACAGGAUUAGAUACCCGGGUAGUC
This 460-nucleotide ribosomal RNA is filed under the name uncultured bacterium. Its description in RNAcentral is "partial 16S ribosomal RNA". It matches the Rfam family "Bacterial small subunit ribosomal RNA", at positions 338 to 795 of the family's 1533-position model. The record is from RNAcentral.